Oryzias melastigma (Indian medaka) is the source of this 3913-nucleotide long non-coding RNA. RefSeq lists it as uncharacterized. The transcript has 2 exons. Lineage: Eukaryota; Metazoa; Chordata; Actinopteri; Beloniformes; Adrianichthyidae. The record is from RefSeq and is a predicted model, not a curated record.
CUUCUGCGUCUUCUCUGGCCAAAUUCAGCUUACAACAUUCCCACGAGCAUUAUUGCAGGUUACAGAGCACCAGAUGUUUGAUCUGCCAGAAACCAGCAGCACAGAGGUGGAGUUUCACAACAAGCACGUUUGGUGGAUGUUUGUACAAUAAAGACUUAAUUUAUGUUUACUAGAACCAAACUUUUCUCAUGGAGGAUUAAUUUAAUUUAAAACACAAUUCCACUGAAAGACACGUCACAGAUUUAGGGGGGCGGGUUUCCCAGUUUUCCUCACUCAGGGCGGGUCAGUCACAUCGACACACAAAUGUCCAUCCAAAAAGGGAAAAUAGUCACACAGCGACAAACAAAAGGGAGAAUUCUGCACUGGUUCUUUGGUGUGAUGUUCUGGACCUGAACAGAGUAAGAAUCAGAGCUAAGAUGAGGGACGGUGAGGUGGAAGGGGUUUGUUGGGGAGGUGAUGCGACUACGAUCGCUUUUUCCUGCUUUCUAAAUUUCGGAAGUUGGCCGGCCGGAUCUUCAUCUCGGCAAACUCGAUGGAGUGUUCGUGUCCUUUCCAGUGGAACCAGUUGAUCCCCUGAGGAAUUCAAGAGAUAUACGCAGAAAUGUGCUUAAAAAAUAGAGGUGAUUGAGUCAAUAAGAGCGGCCCAUAAAAUCUACACAAUCUGAACUUUAUUAAUAGAGAUGAUAUCCAAUAAAACAAUUUUAUUGCAGAUGUACGUACCUUACUAUGACUGCUGUCCCCGUAUUUCCCCAUUAAGUUGACACGAUGACAGUUUUUAUACCAGAAGGCUCCUUUGUAGGACAGGGCGCAGUUGGUCACGGCGAUGUCAUUAUCAUUAUCGUAUGUGGAGAAGGGCCGGCCCUGGUGGUAGGUCAUGGAGUCACCUGGUGGGAGGCAUUAAAGUAGAGGACCCGGUUAUGGUUCUGCUGAUGAAAAACUCGCUUUUCCUAAGAUGGAUUCAUUCAAUCCUUUUUUAUAUUAAACCUUUGAAACGGUCCCAGGAAAAACCAAAGACAUUAAACUUCUCUUUAAUGAGAACAGAGGAAAUGUCAUGCAGUGAACCACUAAACACUCUAAAUGAAGGAUUUUCUCUGAAUAAGACCAAAAAAAAAAGAUUUUUCUCAGGAAACUUGAAUAAUGUUAUGUACAGUUUUAUAGUAAACAGAUGUACGGUUCAAUAUGACAUUCCAACUUCACGAUUCUAGAAGCAUUCUCUUUAAGACUUUAUAAAUUGUAAACCAAAUUUUAUUGUUUUUCAUUAGGGAAUCUGUAUUUCCUUCUCUGUUUUUAAGUAUUAAGUUUUAAAGAGAACUACAUUUUGCAUUUUGAAAUUAUUCAAAACAGCUGAAAAGCUUAACCUAAAUGACAACUGUAGACAUUAAAUUUGACCUUCUUUUACCUGGAUCUGAAAAGUUUUAUUACACGUUUUCCUUUUGUUGCUGUUUUGUUCCUUUAUGCUAUUCUUUUAUGUGAUUUGUACUUGUUGCACAUGGGAAAUAUACAGAUGAGAAAAGAUUAGAUUAGAUCAAGAUGAGACACAAUCAAGACGAGAUAAGAUAUAGUUGAAUUAGAUCAAAUCAAGACGAGCCAGCUUAAGGCGUACAUCAAGACAGGUCAAAAAGAGGUUUAUUCUUCUCAAGUCUGAAGAAUUAAAAAUUUGACCUAAAAAGCUAAGUAAUGUUUUGAAUUGCAGAAAUAUAACCACACAUUGUUGCAGUCCCCCAACUAAGCAUACCGUUGUUAGCAUUGCACACAAGACAAUGUAUAAAAUUUUUAGAAAACAGAUAAUUCUUCAGCAACUCUCAUUAAAAAUAAUGACAAUUAUUAGCCAAUUUUUGACAAAUAAAGGAUAAUUUUGGCAAAUAAUUUCUAAAUCUGUGCCAGAUUUAUUUGAUUUCUGUUUAAAUGUGUCACUGCAGCACAAAUGUGAUGACAUUUUCUGAAGCUGCAGUUGAGCUCAUGGCCACCAGGUGACAGGUUUUUGAAAGCGCUCACUAUUCAGGGAUCACAAAGUUGAAUACAAACGUUAUUACCAGUUCAGAUUGCAGAGUAAAGACCUUUUUAAAGAUUUUUUUAAUGCUGAGAUUGAGCAUGCUCCAACUCCAAAAGUGCAUAAAUCCUAAAAACUUCAUACAUUUUUUAUGAAAAUUGAUCUUUAGUUGUAAGAUCUCCUCUUAAACCAGCCACCAAUUCACUGUUCAUUAACAUUUAGCCACUUCCCUUAACCCUCAGACACAAAUUUCCUGCAUCCCCCACUCAUCUUCAAACCCACUUUACAUGAUUAUGACCAUUUAUGGCAUAAAAAAAUAAUUUGUUUGGUCCCUUUUAACUGAGACAAGCCCGUUUCCUGUUUCUAAACUCUUUCCAUCUAAAACACUUUUCUUAAAGGAAUCAUGGGUAAAAUUUUAAGGAAAAUGUUUGUCCUCUAUUAAGGAGUGUGAUUGGAGACUCUGUGGUUUUGAUCCUCUGCUGCACAGUUUAAAUCUGUUCUCAAUGAAGGUGGAGCUUUCCAUGAUCCAGUCAGUUUUCAGAAAAAGAACAAUAUUUCCAUGAUUUCCCAGCUUGCAUCAAUGCAAAGUCACCAAGUCCACCCACAUCUGCAUUUCUGAAACUCCAAAUUUAUUCGAUUUUAACCCUUUAAUACCAAAGAUGUUGCUGGUGAUAUCUUUGAAAUUCUUUGACAUCCCAUAACUCUUCUACCAUUUAUGCGAUCAGCUAAUUCAUAUAUAGAGAAAAAGAGCAUCUUUGCAUCAUAUUACUGACGUUAAGUGUCGCAUUUUUGACAGUAUCAGCUGAUUUAGUGCUUUAAAAUGUUGCAAAUUGCCCACUGGAAUGACAUUCAUUUUAUAAAAGGUUGAAGAGUUACGGAAUGGUUAAAACCCUACAGUUAGCUUAAGAUUGUAAACAUUUUUAAAGCUGGACAGUAUUGUCGUUACAACCCAAAGAUUGAGGCAGCUCUUACCUGCAGUUCCGCUGUACGCUCCUAUGUUGAUCUUAUAGCGCGAUCUGGGCUCUGAAAUGGUGAACUUGUCGUAUUGGGCGUAGGCCGACUCCCCCUUGUCCUUCAGGUCCACCCGAAGCUCAUAGUGUCCCAAAGCUGUGAUUUUGUGUAGACUGGAGAGGCCUGUAACCCAGGUUCAGAGCUGUAAGUGAUUGAAGAUGAGAACAGAUAAAGCUGUGGAGAAAUGGAGCGGCCGUACCCAGCCAGAACUCAUCGUUCAUGUUCCCAAAGCCAGCCGUGUAGUUCUUCCAGUUCCUGAAGAAAUCCAGCUUUCCGUUCUGACGUCUGAGGAAAACCUGAAGAGGAGAGACGAAGGUGAGUUGGCUUCACUUUUCUCAGGAAAAGCUGCUUGUUUUUCUAAACAGGAACUUGGCGUCUCACCAUCCAGCCGCCUCCGUCUGUGCUCAUGUCACAGUAAACCUGGAUGGGAAGGCUCUCCUCGCCUCCGAUGUAGAUGGUGUAAAGACCAGAGGUCGUCUCUCCGUUCAGUAAAAUCUGAGCGCAGUCCCGCGGCCGUCUGUACAGCUGGCCAACUGAAGGGUGCAGAUUCAAAAAUAACUGACCCUCUGAGGUUAUAUGAGCAGAUCAAUGUUUCCCACCUCUACAGGUGAGCAAAAAAGUGCUUUUUUUCCAUCCUUACACGUGGAAAAGACGGUGGUGACGAAGCGACUCCUCUGUGGUCCGGCAAUGGCCUGCAGGCGGACGCUGUACUCUGUGGAGCCGGUCAGCUGGGACAUGCUGUAGGAGGAGGCUGUGGGGCUCAGCAUCACCUCCUGCAGACAAGCAUCCCUUCUCAGCAGAAUUCUACUCCUAAAUCCAAACUACAGAUCUCUCUGCUCUGCUUUACCAGCUUUACUGCACAAAUGUGUAAAUAUUUGAGAUUGCAUAAAAGUCCAGCUUUUAUCUCUUCAA